RNAcentral lists this ribosomal RNA (718 nucleotides) under uncultured Alteromonadaceae bacterium. RNAcentral's name for it is "bacterial SSU rRNA". It matches the Rfam family "Bacterial small subunit ribosomal RNA", at positions 61 to 770 of the family's 1533-position model. Lineage: Bacteria; Pseudomonadati; Pseudomonadota; Gammaproteobacteria; Alteromonadales; Alteromonadaceae. The record is from RNAcentral.
GUCGACGGUAACGAUGGAAGCUUGCUUCCAGGCGACGAGUGGCGGACGGGUGAGUAAUGCUUGGGAAUUUGCCUAGUAGUGGGGGACAACACGGGGAAACUCGUGCUAAUACCGCAUACACCCUACGGGGGAAAGCGGGGGAUCUUCGGACCUCGCGCUAUUAGAUGAGCCCAAGUCGGAUUAGCUUGUUGGUGAGGUAACGGCUCACCAAGGCCGCGAUCCGUAGCUGGUCUGAGAGGACGAUCAGCCACACUGGGACUGAGACACGGCCCAGACUCCUACGGGAGGCAGCAGUGGGGAAUAUUGCACAAUGGGCGCAAGCCUGAUGCAGCAAUGCCGCGUGUGUGAAGAAGGCCUGCGGGUUGUAAAGCACUUUCAGUAGGGAAGAAAAACUCAAGGUGAAUACCCAUGAGUCUUGACAUUAACUACAGAAGAAGCACCGGCUAACUCCGUGCCAGCAGCCGCGGUAAUACGGAGGGUGCGAGCGUUAAUCGGAAUUACUGGGCGUAAAGCGCACGCAGGCGGUUUGUUAAGCUAGAUGUGAAAGCCCCGGGCCCAACCUGGGAUGGUCAUUUAGAACUGGCAGACUAGAGUCUUGGAGAGGGGAGUGGAAUUCCAGGUGUAGCGGUGAAAUGCGUAGAUAUCUGGAGGAACAUCAGUGGCGAAGGCGACUCCCUGGCCAAAGACUGACGCUCAUGUGCGAAAGUGUGGGGUAGCG